GUCGCCUGGGGAGGAGCCUGCGUCCGAUUAGCUUGUUGGUGGGGUAACGGCCUACCAAGGCUCCGAUCGGUAGCUGGUCUGAGAGGAUGAUCAGCCACACUGGAACUGAGACACGGUCCAGACUCCUACGGGAGGCAGCAGUGGGGAAUUUUGCGCAAUGGGGGAAACCCUGACGCAGCAACGCCGCGUGAGUGAUGAAGGCCUUCGGGUCGUAAAGCUCUGUCAGAGGGAAAGAAAUGUGGGGCGCUAAUACCGUUACCACUUGACGGUACCCUCAAAGGAAGCACCGGCUAACUCCGUGCCAGCAGCCGCGGUAAUACGGAGGGUGCGAGCGUUGUUCGGAAUUAUUGGGCGUAAAGCGCGUGUAGGCGGUUUUAUAAGUCUGAUGUGAAAGCCCCGGGCUCAACCUGGGAAGUGCAUUGGAAACUGUAAGACUUGAGUACGGGAGAGGGCAGUGGAAUUCCUAGUGUAGGAGUGAAAUCCGUAGAUAUUAGGAGGAACACCGGUGGCGAAGGCGGCUGCCUGGACCGAUACUGACGCUGAGACGCGAAAGCGUGGGUAGCAAACAGGAUUAGAUACCCUGGUAGUCCACGCCGUAAACGAUGAGUACUAGGUGUUGCGGGUAUUGACCCCUGCAGUGCCGCAGCUAACGCAUUAAGUACUCCGCCUGGGAAGUACGGUCGCAAGACUAAAACUCAAAGGAAUUGACGG
Molecule: ribosomal RNA, 711 nt
Filed under: uncultured bacterium
Lineage: Bacteria
Description: bacterial SSU rRNA
Rfam family: Bacterial small subunit ribosomal RNA
Source: RNAcentral